GAAAUGCGAUAAGUAAUGUGAAUUGCAGAGUCUUGUGAAUCAUCGAAUCUUUGAACGCACAUUGCGCCCCUCGGCAUUCCGACGGGCAUGCCUGUCCGAGCGUCGUUGCAACCCAUCGAGUGAAAUGUCUCUCGGUCUUGGGCGCCGUCCCCCGUGUCCCUCCCCCCCCGGGGGGAAUGGGGACGGGCCCCAAAGCCAUCGGCGGCCUCGAGCGCGCGCCGGAGCGUCUUCGAAAGCAAUCGCUCCGCGCGUCGCGCCCGGGGACCCGGCCGGCAAAGUAACGCACACCCAAACCGUCUGACCUCGGAUCAGGUAGGGCUACCCGCUGAACUUAAGC
This 337-nucleotide unclassified non-coding RNA is filed under the name plant metagenome. Its description in RNAcentral is "partial contains 5.8S ribosomal RNA, internal transcribed spacer 2, and large subunit ribosomal RNA". The stretch from base 1 to 105 matches the Rfam family "5.8S ribosomal RNA", at positions 50 to 154 of the family's 154-position model. The record is from RNAcentral.